This 291-nucleotide ribosomal RNA is filed under the name uncultured Bacillota bacterium. RNAcentral describes it as "uncultured Firmicutes bacterium partial 16S ribosomal RNA". It matches the Rfam family "Bacterial small subunit ribosomal RNA", at positions 62 to 339 of the family's 1533-position model. The record is from RNAcentral. Lineage: Bacteria; Bacillati; Bacillota.
UUGCACAAGACUGAAUCUGGAUUCCCAUCUAGUGGCAGACGGGUGAGUAACACGUGGGUGACCUACCUUUCGUUGGGGAUAACAGUUGGAAACGAUUGCUAAUACCGAAUACGUUCCUUAGGUCGCAUGACUUUAGGAAGAAAGGGUGGCCUCUACCUGUAAGCUAUCGCCUGAAGAGGGGUUUGCGUCUGAUUAGUUAGUUGGUGGGGUAACGGCCUACCAAGACGACGAUCAGUAGCCGGACUGAGAGGUUGAACGGCCACAUUGGGACUGAGAUACGGCCCAGACUCC